This 510-nucleotide ribosomal RNA is filed under the name uncultured bacterium. RNAcentral describes it as "partial 16S ribosomal RNA". It matches the Rfam family "Bacterial small subunit ribosomal RNA", at positions 28 to 507 of the family's 1533-position model. The record is from RNAcentral.
GACGAACGCUGGCGGCGUGCUUAACACAUACAAGUCGAACGAAGAGCGAUGGAAGCUUGCUUCUAUCAAUCUUAGUGGCGAACGGGUGAGUAACGCGUAAUCAACCUGCCCUUCAGAGGGGGACAACAGUUGGAAACGACUGCUAAUACCGCAUACGAUCUAAACUCGGCAUCGAGGAUAGAUGAAAGGUGGCCUCUACAUGUAAGCUAUCACUGAAGGAGGGGAUUGCGUCUGAUUAGCUAGUUGGAGGGGUAACGGCCCACCAAGGCGAUGAUCAGUAGCCGGUCUGAGAGGAUGAACGGCCACAUUGGGACUGAGACACGGCCCAGACUCCUACGGGAGGCAGCAGUGGGGAAUCUUCCGCAAUGGACGAAAGUCUGACGGAGCAACGCCGCGUGAGUGAUGACGGCCUUCGGGUUGUAAAGCUCUGUUAAUCGGGACGAAAGGCCUUCUUGCGAAUAGUGAGAAGGAUUGACGGUACCGGAAUAGAAAGCCACGGCUAACUACGUG